GUCACACAUAUAAUAGUUGGCGAGUUUAUUUAUUAAUAUUAGUUUUUGUGAUAGAUAGUUGUAGUUUAGUGCAUGAAUAGAUAUAAUAAUAAGCAAACAUUCACUUCCCAACGUUUAUAGAAACUAGUUAACAGGUCUCUGAAGACGGUAAUGUAACCGAAACUAGUAAGACAAAUAUAUAAAUAAUCACCAUA
Molecule: long non-coding RNA, 194 nt
Filed under: Onthophagus taurus
Lineage: Eukaryota; Metazoa; Arthropoda; Insecta; Coleoptera; Scarabaeidae
Description: uncharacterized LOC111427096
Source: RNAcentral